RNAcentral lists this ribosomal RNA (253 nucleotides) under uncultured bacterium. RNAcentral describes it as "partial 16S ribosomal RNA". It matches the Rfam family "Bacterial small subunit ribosomal RNA", at positions 524 to 776 of the family's 1533-position model. The record is from RNAcentral.
UACAGAGGGGGCAAGCGUUGUUCGGAAUUAGUGGGCGUAAAGGGCGCGUAGGCGGCCUUCUAAGUCAGACGUGAAAUCCCUCGGCUCAACCGGGGAACUGCGUCUGAGACUGGAAGGCUUGAAUCCGGGAGAGGGAUGUGGAAUUCCAGGUGUAGCGGUGAAAUGCGUAGAUAUCGGGAGGAACAUCAGUUGCGAAGGCGGCUCUCUGGACCAGUACUGACGCUGAGGCACGAAAGCGUGGGGAGCAAACAGG